RNAcentral lists this ribosomal RNA (207 nucleotides) under uncultured bacterium. RNAcentral describes it as "partial 16S ribosomal RNA". It matches the Rfam family "Bacterial small subunit ribosomal RNA", at positions 568 to 774 of the family's 1533-position model. The record is from RNAcentral.
CACGUAGGCGGAUCGGUAAGUCAGAUGUGAAAUCCCGGAGCUCAACUCCGGAACUGCAUUUGAUACUGCCAGUCUUGAGUGAGGUAGAGGGGGGUGGAAUUCCCGGUGUAGAGGUGAAAUUCGUAGAUAUCGGGGGGAACACCAGAGGCGAAGGCGACCCCCUGGGCCUUUACUGACGCUGAGGUGCGAAAGCGUGGGGAGCAAACA